This is a long non-coding RNA of Arabidopsis thaliana (thale cress), 343 nucleotides long. RefSeq annotates it as other RNA. Lineage: Eukaryota; Viridiplantae; Streptophyta; Magnoliopsida; Brassicales; Brassicaceae. The record is from RefSeq. The transcript has 2 exons.
CUCCCUCUCCGGUAUAAUGAUAUGUUUGAAGAAUUAAAUCUUUUAGUUUAAAUAUAUCAGAGGAGAUCAAAGAUCUUUGACAGCAAAACAGAGGAUAAGUUAUUUCGUAUGGACCAGACAAAGUAUAAUUCCACUAAACUGAUUAGAAUUGAAUAAGUAAAUCCAUCACUUCCUGGUGCUUGGUUAGUCCUCCCCUGAUGGAUCAAGUCUUCUUGUGACAGAGAUCGAGUGGCAACUUCUUGUUUUUCUCUGUAUGCCUCUCCUAGAGUAGAUUUUUGUUUCUGUAGAUCACAGUCAACCCUUACGCAUUCGACUUCCUCGCCACUUUGCUGCAACAACACAA